UCGCUGGAUUCGGAGGUGACCAUAAAGCCAGUCUCUGAUGCCUACACACAGACUAUACAGUGUGAUGGAAUACAGGCAAAACUUGAAUGAUUAUGAAAUAGGAUUCUAUCCACUGGCUGGCAUGCUGGAAAGCUUUAUGGUCCUCUUGGCACGUGCUACAGUGGGGACUCACAACAGCUCUAUGACAUCAUUGGAAGAGUGAAGUAAAGUACUGGAUGUUUAACUGUAAAGGAGCUUCUUCAAAUGGGAGAAAAGAUGGGAGAUACAUGCCAACAGUGAGUCCAUGCAGAAGUGGCAUCAUAACUGGUGACUAGAAGUGGAAUAAGAGAUUCUUCCUGCAUCACGACUGCUAUAGCACACAGUCAGAAGGAGCAAGUGACUCACUCACACAGCUGCUUGGAGCUACAAUGCCACACAGCCUUUGUCGACCAGCUAUUCCCUGUGAAAGAAGCCUAGUCAGUUUGACCUCUCUUCUGCAUCUUCUAAACUCUUGGCCAAGAUCUUCUGGUCUGGGAGAUACUAUGGCAGGAACAGCACAGAAAAAUAAAUGAAGGAGGAAGAUGAUAUGGGAAGAUGCUUUCUCACAUCUGAUUUCCUACAAAGUGCCUGCCACAAUCUCGCCCAUCUCUCGCCAACUGGUAUACUGUCUCUGCUUUCCAAAAUUCUAGAUACUCAACAUCAACUCCUACAGAAGACAAAGAAUUAAUAAGAAGUAUGUCCAGAAGACACUAGCCCCACUCUUCCAACCCCAUCACUGUGCUCAGUAGAUUCCCUGGUUUAUAAUCCAACUGGAAGAACUGAGGCAGGCACUCCUGUAUGCUGGCUCCCCAUAUAUGACCAACCACUCACAUAUAAGGUCGGAUGCUCUCCUUUCUCUCUGUCAUCAAGCCACUGAAUUCAUCAGGAAGGAGUCCUCUAUCAGCUCAAGUGCUUUGAGCUCAUGUGCUCUGGGCUCCCCACUAUUUAGUGGGCAGCUCCAGCAGGCAUUGAAAUAGGCUCUUAUCUCAACUUGAACCCGAAACCUGUGACUCUACUUUAUUCUCCAAAUACAGAAGCCCAAAAACCAAGAAGUAGGAAGGUAAUGUCAGUGAUGUCAGUGGUACAGCACUGCGCAUGGUGUAUGGAUGCAUCCCUCUGCGUUGUAAAGAAGAAAAGUCUUCACUCAGAAGUGGGCACCUGCACUGAAAAUUCAUGGAGUUAGAAUACAGGGAUGCGCCUGAUCCAUUCAAUGGUGCAAGAUUGGAGACAGGAUUCUUCCCCAGAAGAAAACCUUAUUAAGAGUUCCAAUGGAGACUGCAGCCUGACUGAUGGUGCUCACAUUUCUUCAACAUCAGUGAGACCACCCUUGGCACAAGUGAGAAUGAUACGGUCAACCGGAAGGAUGGGAACACAACAGGAAGAUGGGCCUUUGGCAUGCCUGUGGGAAACUAUCUUGAUUAGAUUAAUGGAGGUGGAAAGAUUCUCCCACCAUAGGUGUCACCAUUCCCUAGACAAGGCAUCCUGGAGUAUAUACAAGUGGAAAAGGUCACAAAAUCUACCUUAUUAUGAGGGUGGACAUGCAAGCUUCAGUCAAAGGCUGUUCUACAGUGAGAAUCUGUGGGAUUCUUCAACGGUGUCUAAGAUGAUGAACAGCAAUGGAAGCCAUGGAAGUGUCCCACAUUAAAAUGAGGGGGAAAGCUGCAAAGGUGGAUACUGGAAAAGAGCAGAAGAUCCUGGGGAUGGUAAUGUCCUCCUAUUUUCAGAAAGCUGCACAUUCUAAGCAUUGCUGGACUUUAGAGAAAAACCCUGAAAAUAUCAAGCAAAUAAGAUCUGUAUCAGCUGGUGAAAUAUA
This 1831-nucleotide small RNA is filed under the name Rattus norvegicus (Norway rat). RNAcentral's name for it is "uncharacterized LOC103690464". The record is from RNAcentral. Lineage: Eukaryota; Metazoa; Chordata; Mammalia; Rodentia; Muridae.